CACCCGAGACUCAGUGAAAUUGAACUCGCUGUGAAGAUGCAGUGUACCCGCGGCAAGACGGAAAGACCCCGUGAACCUUUACUAUAGCUUGACACUGAACAUUGAGCCUUGAUGUGUAGGAUAGGUGAGUCGCUGUCGCUGUUACGGAACGCGUUAAAGAGCGCCAAAUUCGAUUGUCCGAAAGAAGCCAAAAUGGAUUUCAGUAUGGUGGAUAUCGCCUUUUGGCAGGAAACCGAACCCGCUUUUCGGGC
This 251-nucleotide ribosomal RNA is filed under the name Salmonella enterica subsp. enterica serovar Kentucky. RNAcentral's name for it is "partial 23S ribosomal RNA". It matches the Rfam family "Bacterial large subunit ribosomal RNA", at positions 2023 to 2212 of the family's 2925-position model. Lineage: Bacteria; Pseudomonadati; Pseudomonadota; Gammaproteobacteria; Enterobacterales; Enterobacteriaceae. The record is from RNAcentral.